AUUGAACGCUGGCGGCAGGCCUAACACAUGCAAGUCGAGCGGAUGAAGGGAGCUUGCUCCUGGAUUCAGCGGCGGACGGGUGAGUAAUGCCUAGGAAUCUGCCUGGUAGUGGGGGAUAACGUCCGGAAACGGGCGCUAAUACCGCAUACGUCCUGAGGGAGAAAGUGGGGGAUCUUCGGACCUCACGCUAUCAGAUGAGCCUAGGUCGGAUUAGCUAGUUGGUGGGGUAAAGGCCUACCAAGGCGACGAUCCGUAACUGGUCUGAGAGGAUGAUCAGUCACCCUGGAAAUGAGACACGGUCCAGCCCCCCAGGGGGGGCAGCGGGGGGGAAUUUUGGAAAAUGGGGGAAAGCCUGAACCACCCAUGCCGGGGGGUGGAAGAAGUGUUUGGGUUUGAAAAGCAUUUUAAGUGGGGAGGAAGGGAAGUAAGUUAAAACCUUGCUUUUUUGACGUUACCAAAAAAAAAAGCACCGGCUAACUUCGU
Molecule: ribosomal RNA, 483 nt
Filed under: uncultured bacterium
Lineage: Bacteria
Description: partial 16S ribosomal RNA
Rfam family: Bacterial small subunit ribosomal RNA
Source: RNAcentral